GUGCUGCUAGUUAAGCCGACCAGCUCCCUUAGUUCAUGGGACCUGGUGUGCAGUGGCUGCAAGCGGCGGCCUCCUUGGUAGUGUGUGCAACCUGCUUGUAUGGGUUGCCCUAAGGGACCUUGGAGACAGUC
Small nucleolar RNA from Ochotona curzoniae (black-lipped pika), 131 nucleotides. RefSeq annotates it as small nucleolar RNA SNORA70. Lineage: Eukaryota; Metazoa; Chordata; Mammalia; Lagomorpha; Ochotonidae. The record is from RefSeq and is a predicted model, not a curated record. The transcript has a single exon.